CUUACCAAGUGCUGAGCCAGCGACCACUGGAUUCCCAGCAAGACAGACGGGUUAAUACGCGGAGGCAGGGGGCGCAGAGGGGAGAACUUCAGGGACCCGGACCUCGGGGAGACCCAGAAAGAUCACAGGAGGGGCCUCCGAUCCUGCCUGGGCAGGAGAGGUUACAGGAGGUUUCCUGGAAAAAGGAGGACCUAAGUUGGGAUUUCUAAUUUUUAUUGGUUUCCUAAAACAUACAAGU
This is an unclassified non-coding RNA of Ictidomys tridecemlineatus (thirteen-lined ground squirrel), 238 nucleotides long. NCBI's taxonomy places the organism in Eukaryota, Metazoa, Chordata, Mammalia, Rodentia, Sciuridae. The record is from Ensembl.